GCGGGGGAUCAUGGACUACUCAGGAAAGAGUCGGCUAAUACCAAAGUCAUACGCCCUACGGGGGAAAGGGGGGGAUGCAAGACCUCUCACUAUUGGAGCGGCCGAUAUCGGAUUAGCUAGUUGGUGGGGUAAAGGCUCACCAAGGCAACGAUCCGUAGCUGGUUUGAGAGGACGACCAGCCACACUGGGACUGAGACACGGCCCAGACUCCUACGGGAGGCAGCAGUGGGGAAUUUUGGACAAUGGGGGAAACCCUGAUCCAGCCAUCCCGCGUGUAUGAUGAAGGCCUUCGGGUUGUAAAGUACUUUUGGCAGAGAAGAAAAGGCAUCCCCUAAUACGGGAUGCUGCUGACGGUAUCUGCAGAAUAAGCACCGGCUAACUACGUGCCAGCAGCCGCGGUAAUACGUAGGGUGCAAGCGUUAAUCGGAAUUACUGGGCGUAAAGCGUGUGUAGGCGGUUCGGAAAGAAAGAUGUGAAAUCCCAGGGCUCAACCUUGGAACUGCAUUUUUAACUGCCGAGCUAGAGUAUGUCACAGGGGGGUAGAAUUCCACGUGUAGCAAUGAAAUGCGUAGAUAUGUGGAGGAAUACCGAUGGCUAAG
Molecule: ribosomal RNA, 599 nt
Filed under: Alcaligenes faecalis
Lineage: Bacteria; Pseudomonadati; Pseudomonadota; Betaproteobacteria; Burkholderiales; Alcaligenaceae
Description: bacterial SSU rRNA
Rfam family: Bacterial small subunit ribosomal RNA
Source: RNAcentral